GGGGAGGGUGCUUGCUCCUACUAGCGGCGGACGGGUGAGUAUGCUAGGAAUCUGCCUAUUAGUGGGGGACAACAUUCCGAAAGGAAUGCUAUACCGCAUACGCCCUACGGGGGAAAGCAGGGGAUCUUCGGACCUUGCGCUAAUAGAUGAGCCUAAGUCAGAUUAGCUAGUUGGUGGGGUAAAGGCCUCCAAGGCGACGAUCUGUAGCGGGUCUGAGAGGAUGAUCCGCCACACUGGGACUGAGACACGGCCCAGACUCCUACGGGAGGCAGCAGUGGGGAAUAUUGGACAAUGGGCGAAAGCCUGAUUCAGCAUGCCGCGUGUGUGAAGAAGGCCUUUUGGUUGUAAGCACUUUUAAGCGAGGAGGAGGCUCUGAGAUAAUCCUCUUGAUAGUGACGUACUCCAGAAUAGCACCGCUACUCUGUGCAGCGCCGCGUAAUCAGAGGGUCGAGCGUAUUGAUUACUGGCGUAACGGCGUAGCGGUUUUAAGUCGUGUAAUC
RNAcentral lists this ribosomal RNA (500 nucleotides) under uncultured bacterium. RNAcentral's name for it is "bacterial SSU rRNA". It matches the Rfam family "Bacterial small subunit ribosomal RNA", at positions 71 to 541 of the family's 1533-position model. The record is from RNAcentral.